AAGGGGCUUCGGCCCUGAGUAGAGUGGCAAACGGGUGAGUAACACGUGGGUGACCUGCCUUCGAGUGGGGGAUAACGUCCCGAAAGGGACGCUAAUACCGCAUGACAUCCUGCCUUUGGACAGGCGGAGAUCAAAGCUGGGGAUCGCAAGACCUAGCGCUUGAAGAGGGGCCCGCGUCUGAUUAGCUAGUUGGUAGGGUAAUGGCCUACCAAGGCUACGAUCAGUAUCCGGCCUGAGAGGGCGGACGGACACACUGGGACUGAGACACGGCCCAGACUCCUACGGGAGGCAGCAGUGGGGAAUUGUUCGCAAUGGGCGCAAGCCUGACGACGCAACGCCGCGUGGAGGAUGAAGAUCUUCGGG
RNAcentral lists this ribosomal RNA (363 nucleotides) under uncultured bacterium. RNAcentral describes it as "bacterial SSU rRNA". It matches the Rfam family "Bacterial small subunit ribosomal RNA", at positions 72 to 422 of the family's 1533-position model. The record is from RNAcentral.